Molecule: ribosomal RNA, 247 nt
Filed under: uncultured bacterium
Lineage: Bacteria
Description: partial 16S ribosomal RNA
Rfam family: Bacterial small subunit ribosomal RNA
Source: RNAcentral
UGAUCCUGGCUCGGGAUGAACGCUAGCUACAGGCUUAACACAUGCAAGUCGAGGGGCAGCAUGAACUUAGCUUGCUAAGUUUGAUGGCGACCGGCGCACGGGUGAGUAACACGUAUCCAACCUGCCGAUGACUCGGGGAUAGCCUUUCGAAAGAAAGAUUAAUACCCGAUGGCAUAGUUCUUCCGCAUGGUAGAACUAUUAAAGGAUUUCGGUCAUCGAUGGGGAUGCGUUCCAUUAGGUUGUUGGG